UGUUUUUUGUGUUUGAGCUAAGCAAAACCUUUAUGAUUAGUUUGGUGAUGGUUGUUUGAUCCUGCUGGAAAAAGACAGAAACUUUUAGCUCACGGAAUUAUUUUUCAUUUUUGUUCAGAAAGAGAUUUUGAGUUGAUUCUUUUUGCUGCUGGUUUAUAUGCCUUUUUCUCAGGCAGUAGUAAUUUUUCAGAAUUUUUGAGAUACCAGAACUAUAUGAAGUAUACAGAUUGCUAUAGACUGGUCUGUUUUUGACAGAUUGUGUUUUUAUUGUGUUGGUUGCUUGUUUUGAUGAAACUAUGGAUAGUAUCGGGG
RNAcentral lists this long non-coding RNA (312 nucleotides) under Hordeum vulgare. RNAcentral's name for it is "long non-coding RNA (HVUL_LNC011948)". The record is from RNAcentral. Lineage: Eukaryota; Viridiplantae; Streptophyta; Magnoliopsida; Poales; Poaceae.